RNAcentral lists this ribosomal RNA (253 nucleotides) under uncultured bacterium. RNAcentral describes it as "partial 16S ribosomal RNA". It matches the Rfam family "Bacterial small subunit ribosomal RNA", at positions 524 to 776 of the family's 1533-position model. The record is from RNAcentral.
GACGAACCGUGCGAACGUUGUUCGGAAUCACUGGGCUUAAAGGGCGCGUAGGCGGCUUACCAAGUCCGGGGUGAAAGCUUUCGGCUCAACCGGAAAAGUGCCUUGGAUACUGGUAGGCUUGAGGGAGGUAGGGGCAUGCGGAACUUCCGGUGGAGCGGUGAAAUGCGUUGAUAUCGGAAGGAACGCCGGUGGCGAAAGCGGCGUGCUGGACCUCUUCUGACGCUGAGGCGCGAAAGCUAGGGGAGCAAACGGG